Long non-coding RNA from Herpailurus yagouaroundi (jaguarundi), 2899 nucleotides. RefSeq lists it as uncharacterized. The record is from RefSeq and is a predicted model, not a curated record. The transcript is spliced from 3 exons. NCBI's taxonomy places the organism in Eukaryota, Metazoa, Chordata, Mammalia, Carnivora, Felidae.
CUCUAACCUCUUUUUUUUUUUUUUUCCUUCCCCUCCCCCAUGGGUUUCUGUUAAGUUUCUCAGAGAGUGACUUAAAAUCAAAGUCGGAAUCCCAAGUGGUCAGAGCUGGAUGGUUUCUUAAAACUAUUGUCUUAAGCCAUGUCUUCCCAUGCGUAUGGGGGCCCAGAUCGGCCGAGCCCUUGCAUGGCACCUCCCACCCCGAAGCCUGACUUAUGCUCUGCUCCAGGAUGCAGGGAGAGGUGCUCUGAGGUCAGACCUCCGGGCUGCAACACUGUUCUGCCCUGAGCCCCACUGUGACCUUGGGCACGCCACUUUCCCUCCACCUGCUGUCCGGGCCCACAUCUGUGAGACGCAAGUGGUAAUGACCCUUCCCACCUCAUGCACCGUUGUGAGGAGCGAGUGGAGCUGAGUGUGAAGAGCGGACAGUGGGGCCUGGUGUAUGGCAAGUGCUCUAGAAGUCUCUGGGUUGUGUGGCCUGCAUCUGCAUAACCAGGGGAGCUGCUCAGUGACACGCAAGCUUAGUAAGACUUAGUAAGACUGGCUUUGUUCUAAAACAACCUAAGCUGAAGAGCCCCACUUGGGGGGCAGAUGAUGCACUUUGUGGUCAGACCUCUCCGUUUCUGUGGCUUCCAACAAGGUCAUUCUUCUCGGAGACAGCCUUCCCCUUUGCACACAAAGAGGAAGUGAACAUUGUGCCUUGGCCCUUUUAUUUGCAAAGGAUCUGUUCUUACACAGGUCCCUGUACUUUGUGAUCUUGGGUUCCCCUCCAAACUUGAAAAAGCACACCUCCCCCAGACCUCACCAUCUGGCCCCCAGACAGUGACAUCUGUAAAGCUAGGCUGUCUCAGGAAAUCUCAUUGGUGAAAUGAAUUCAGAUAGGCUGGCUAGGAAUGCUGUCACCAGGACGGGAACGGGGCUGAAGAAGCCUGAACAAAGAAGAUUCCUAAAUGGUCUCCAUCCUCCUGAGCUGGGAGGGGGUUAAUGCUGGCCUAGUGCUUCCACUGCUCAUCUGGCCCCGGCAGUCCCCAAGGACUCCAGAGUGACCGGGAGGUGGACACAAAGGCAUUGUUGAGAUGGGGGGGGGGAGGGGAGAAAAUAAGUGAUCGUCACCUUGGAAAAAUGUAGACUCAUUAUCUGAGGGCCUUUAACACCAGCAACCAGUUUGCAGGCCUGGAGGAGGGGCGGGGCUGCAAUCCCUCUGGCGUGAAUGGGAGGGUCAGACAUCAGCCUUGGAAGAAGCAGAUGCCCCUUUCUGUAAACAGGGACUCCUGUGAAGAAGUUCACCUUCCUCUCCUCCAGCCUGCCUUUGGCUGCUGUUAGCUGAAGCGGACAGCUGGAGGAGAGAGGCCCCCGUGCUCUGGAGCGGUGGCCCCGAGGAGGCGGCCCAGCCACCAGGGCUACUUCAUUUGAUGGAAGAGGAACACCAGAGCCCGGUGUUGGGGGACGGAUGGAGGCUCAGGUCCUGGGUGAGGUGAGUAGGGGGUAGCCUCAACCCGGCUUUUUGGCAGGAAGCCUGAGUAACCAGAGAAUUAGCUCUGGGUUCUCUUCCUGGUCCUAAAUGGGCUCUUCUCCAGCUCUGAGCAACCCUCUAUCAGGAGUGAUGAGACCAAGGUCAUUGUUAACAAGUGUUUAUUGUUAAUAAAACCAUGGUACAUUUACAAUAAGUGACAACAUUAAUGUAUAGUUACAGUAUCAUACAAUAUUACAGCAAUAAAAUAACGCCUAUUCCUUUGUACAUCCAGCUCAAGCAGCUAGUCGAAAAUAUUUUCCAAGAUUGCAAGCCCCCAGGGGCUUUUCAAGGUAACCAAAGUAACACCUCCUUAAGUGCCCAGGGCUUUUGGUGAAUAAAUAGUUUCUAAGGUGCAGCCAGACAGCCUGAAGAAGGCUACACCCGGAGCAAGCUGUCCGGAAUGCUCCCCCAGUGUCUGGUCCAUAAAUAUGACAAGUGUCCAGCCCGAUGCUGCCCCUCCACCUAGGGAAGCCCGGGGCCUACAGCAGGCCCGGAGCAGGUAGGUGAGAAGCAGCAGGCCUUCUCCCGCCCCUUCCCUCCCACCACUGCCCCACCCUUUCUACCCCCAGGACCGCAGUUCCCAGUGAGAGGUGCCCCUCUCCAGCCCAAGUCGGAGGACUCAGCCAGGGGUACAUUUAGGGGUCUGCUUCCUGAGCCCACAGAGGCAGCCUAAAUCUAGGCUUGGGGUUUCAGAAUGGGCCCCUAAAAACAGCAGCAGCAUGGGCUGAGGCCCCCAGACUCCUCCAUGCCACCCUGCGCUUAGACUGAAAGCUCUGAAGGCAUCAGUUGGGGAACUGCUCUACCACUAACCGAGCAGGUUUGUGGUCCCCAAAGGAGGGCCUCUGUCGGCCUAGACACCAAAGAGAAUAGGACUGAGUGACCCUCUGUGCCCCCUGGAGGCUCACAUCAAGCCUUUGAAGGCACAGCCUUGAGGAAUAAGUUCAGGGAUUUGGACAGCCUUUCUGACGUGAUGUUGAGAAAAAAAUACCGCUUCUGCAUGAAGGGGCCUGAGGCCCAGAGUAUACAUUCUCUACAUUCAUCAGGAUGCCUGUACUUCCAGGAGUCCCAGCUGGGACCGUCCGAGCUUAUGGAGGUGUGGGGACUGCGGGUAGUUAGCUUCUGACCAUGCCUUCCAGGCCCUAUUUCAAGCGGGAAGAAUCAGGAUCAGCCAUAGAUCUCCAGGAGGGGAGCACAAGAGGGUGAGUACACGGCAGCCCUCAAGGUGCAAACGGUAUGGGGGUUGCAGGUGGGGGAAGGGCCACCUUUUGAACUUGUCUGCCCAUAACUAGUCAAGCAGACACAGCUUGGGGGCAGAGGGUUGAAGGUGGGGCUGCCCAGUGACAGGAGGGCUCAGAGCACAUCUACCUGUGCAAGGACAGAUCACCACCA